GACGAACGCUGGCGGCGUGCUUAACACGUGCAAGUCGAGCGAUGAAGUUCCUUCGGGAAUGGAUUAGCGGCGGACGGGUGAGUAACACGUGGGUAACCUGCCUCAUAGAGGGGAAUAGCCUUCCGAAAGGAAGAUUAAUACCGCGUAAGAUUGUAGUACGGCAUGGUACAGCAAUUAAAGGAGUAAUCCGCUAUGAGAUGGACCCGCGUCGCAUUAGCUAGUUGGUGAGGUAACGGCUCACCAAGGCGACGAUGCGUAGCCGACCUGAGAGGGUGAUCGGCCACAUUGGGACUGAGACACGGCCCAGACUCCUACGGGAGGCAGCAGUGGGGAAUAUUGCACAAUGGGGGAAACCCUGAUGCAGCAACGCCGCGUGAGUGAUGACGGUCUUCGGACUGUAAAGCUCUGUCUUCAGGGACGAUAAUGACGGUACCUGAGGAGGAAGCCACGGCUAACUACGUGCCAGCCGCCGCAGUAA
RNAcentral lists this ribosomal RNA (478 nucleotides) under uncultured bacterium. RNAcentral describes it as "partial 16S ribosomal RNA". It matches the Rfam family "Bacterial small subunit ribosomal RNA", at positions 28 to 523 of the family's 1533-position model. The record is from RNAcentral.